Molecule: non-coding RNA, 369 nt
Organism: Odocoileus virginianus texanus
Lineage: Eukaryota; Metazoa; Chordata; Mammalia; Artiodactyla; Cervidae
Source: RefSeq, a predicted model, not a curated record
GAACCAGGUCUCCUGCAUUGCAGGCAGAUUCUUCACUGUCUGAGCCACCAGAGAAGCCCAGAUGCUAUGUGAGCAGACACGAAAACAAAAUUAAUCUUAUUGUACAUCUCCAUCAGAGCUCUAGGGUGACCAGGCACAUCAUCAAUGAACAGUACUCUUUUGAAAGGAAUCUUUUUUCUUCACAGUAGGUAUACUCAUUGUUAAAUAAAAUAGAGAAGUUUAUAAUGAAGAAAAUAUAAGGCCCAUAAAAUUUCAUCAUCCAGAGAAACCAGUGUCAAUGAUGUUAAACAGUCAAUGGUAGCAGUUUUCUUUCUUGCUCCACAGGCCUCAUCUCCCUUCCCGCCCUGCCCCCCUACCCCAGAACCUCAG